Molecule: ribosomal RNA, 461 nt
Filed under: uncultured bacterium
Lineage: Bacteria
Description: partial 16S ribosomal RNA
Rfam family: Bacterial small subunit ribosomal RNA
Source: RNAcentral
CCUACGGGUGGCAGCAGUGAGGAAUAUUGGUCAAUGGUCGGAAGCCUGAACCAGCCAAGUCGCGUUAGGGAAUAAGGCCCUACGGGUCGUAAACCUCUUUUGCCGGGGAGCAAGGGCGGGGACGUGUCCCGUCCCGGAGAGUACCCGGAGAAAAAGCAUCGGCUAACUCCGUGCCAGCAGCCGCGGUAAUACGGAGGAUGCGAGCGUUAUACGGCUUGAGCGGGUUUACAGGGUGCGUAGGCGGUCGGAUAAGUUAGAGGUGAAAUCCCGAGGCUCAACUUCGGAAUUGCCUUUGAUACUGUGCGGCUAGAGAGUAGUAGCGGUAGGCGGAAUGUAUGGUGUAGCGGUGAAAUGCUUAGAGAUCAUACAGAACACCGAUUGCGAAGGCAGCUUACCAAGCUACUUCUGACGUUGAGGCACGAAAGCGUGGGGAGCAAACAGGAUUAGAUACCCUUGUAGUC